GUGCUAGUUUCAGCAGCACAUAUACUAAAAUUGGAAUGAUGCAGAGAAGAUUAGCAUGUCCCCUGCAUAAAGAUGACAUGCAAAUUCAUGAAGCGUUUCAUAUUUUA
Gorilla gorilla gorilla (western lowland gorilla) is the source of this 107-nucleotide small nuclear RNA. NCBI's taxonomy places the organism in Eukaryota, Metazoa, Chordata, Mammalia, Primates, Hominidae. The record is from Ensembl.